Long non-coding RNA from Suricata suricatta (meerkat), 1072 nucleotides. RefSeq lists it as uncharacterized. Lineage: Eukaryota; Metazoa; Chordata; Mammalia; Carnivora; Herpestidae. The record is from RefSeq and is a predicted model, not a curated record. The transcript has 5 exons.
UACACGCGGGCGCACGCGCGGACGCAACACACACGGAGCAGCCCUCGGGCGGCGGCGUCGCCACGUCCGAGAGUGCGAUUGCACUGGACGUGCAUCCUGCCGAUCCUUGGGAACUGCGGGAGGCGCCCUGGCGUUUCUUUGGAACUUCCUGUGAGUUCCAUCGCUUCAAGAUCCAAACUGCAGCCGAAAGCACACAAGCAGGGCUGGGCGUAGACAGACAGGACGACUAGCGCGGCCCUGCGCGCAGGCGACCAGCUAGUUCUCACUGGGCAGGGGACGAGUCCGUCAGUCCGCGGGGACCAGGCUUGCCCCUGCGCCUGAGAGCGGUCCCAUCCCGAGCCGAGCUUUGUCAUUGGCGGAGCUAGCCGGAAGAGGUGUGGCCUCCUGGGAGAGAGUCCUGCCCAAGUCUGCCUGUUCUCCAGGACCACCUGGGAUUGUCCUUGUGGUUGUCCCUGCCUGUCACCUGGGGAGGUCACAAUCAAGGGGAGUCCCACAGAGAAAGCUCCUGGCUUCCCUACAAGUCGCUGUGAUCCGGAAGCAUCCGUCCCAGUGGUUCUCACGCUGCAGGGCUGCAUGGGAAACCUGGAGAGCUUGUUCAACGUCGGGACUCGGGACUCCACCCCACGGUCUGUGAUCUUGCAGAUCUGAGGGCCUAGCAGCAGGGGUGUCUCUCGGGAUUCUCUCGGUGCGCCGGGUCCCAGCCCGCUGGCAGCUCGCAGGAUGGAGUGCCCGGUGCCAGGCUCAUGUUCUUUUUUCAUGAGGACAUUUCAGAACUGCACUGUGCUCUGGUCUCCUGCUCUCCCAUGAAGUGCUCCUGAUAGGGGUAUGGCCAGCAAGCCAGGAGGGCCAGCUGGGAGGAAGCCCAAAAGGGGGACAGCCCUUCAUAAAGAGUGCUCGACACAGGAGACCUCAGCUCCUCCCGAGGCAGCUUCCUGAAGGGGAGAAGAGAAGGCUGGGAGGUGCACAUGGGACGUGGCUUCAGAAGUGACAACCAUGACCCUGGGGGCACCUGGGGGCUCAGUCGGUUAAGCGACUCCGGCUCAGGCUGUGAUCUCAGGGCUCCUGAGUUCGA